UAUGAAGAUAUCAAAGGCCAUUCUCCCGAUGGACAGCAACAAGAAGCUGAUACUCGACAUGGUCUAGCAGCUGCUAAAGUUCCCGCUCUCGGCGGAGGAGCGUGACUGUUGGAUGAGCAUAGCGAGGAUAUUGAGUCACUUGCCCGCACCGAUCGCUUCCUUUACGAAAUAUCAAAGAUUCCCCACUACGAGCAAAGGCUGAAGAGUUCACUACUGGAACUGCUUUAUGCCGACAUCAGCACU
Long non-coding RNA from Drosophila serrata, 243 nucleotides. NCBI's taxonomy places the organism in Eukaryota, Metazoa, Arthropoda, Insecta, Diptera, Drosophilidae. The record is from RefSeq and is a predicted model, not a curated record.